GCUCGUAGUCAGAACUGCCUGCAAAGGCGUACGAACAUCUGUUCGUUCACUGUGAACAAAUCAGGACGCUUAGUGUAUGGUUUUAGGAAUGACUUAGCGCAGUAUGAUAUCUUUACCUUUGGUAAGAUCAAUGAGAGCCACCGGGGGUAGAUCUAUUUCAUGGCGAACGGUGGAAUGUUUUGACCCAUGAGAGAGAAACGAAGGCGAAAGCAUCUACCUAGAGGGUUUCUGUCGAUCAAGGGCGAGAGUAGGAGUAUCCAACCGGAUCAGAGACCCGGGUAGUUCCUACCUUAAACGAUGCCGACAGGGGCUUGUCCUUUUAUGAGGGCAGGACCUUAGGAGAAAUCAUAGUUCUUGGGCUCUGGGGGAACUACGACCGCAAGGCUGAAACUUGAAGGAAUUGACGGAAGGGCACACCAGGGGUGGAGCUUGUGGCUUAAUUUGAAUCAACACGGGGAAACUUACCAGGACCAGAUGUUUUUAAUGACUGACAGGCUUCGGGUCUUUCAGGAUAUGACUUUUGGUGGUGCAUGGCCGUUGGUGGUGCGUGGGUUGACCUGUCAAGCGUUGAUUCAGAUAACGAGCGAGAUUAUCGCCAAUUAAAUACUCGUUUCUGUUUACAGAGAUAGAGUUCUAAUUGGG
This 642-nucleotide ribosomal RNA is filed under the name Tritrichomonas suis. RNAcentral describes it as "SSU rRNA". It matches the Rfam family "Eukaryotic small subunit ribosomal RNA", at positions 706 to 1418 of the family's 1831-position model. The record is from RNAcentral. Lineage: Eukaryota; Parabasalia; Tritrichomonadida; Tritrichomonadidae.